GCACCUCGUUCUGCGUUAAAGUCCUCUCCGGGUGACGGUAAACGAUCCGGUAGCAAUGGCUGACCUUCUUUGUCUUUGGAUGGGUAUAUUCAUCCAGUAGGACAACUUUUUCUAUCAGGUCUCCACCAACACUUCGGGCCAAGUCAUAGAAAUCAUUCUUAGAGUACGUCUCAGUAGGCAGCCAGAAGGAGAUGUCAUUGAUCA
This 204-nucleotide long non-coding RNA is filed under the name Gallus gallus (chicken). The record is from RNAcentral. Lineage: Eukaryota; Metazoa; Chordata; Aves; Galliformes; Phasianidae.